UCAUGUGUCCAGUCCAUUCAAACAAAUAUGCCCUUGUUUUAUAAUGUUACGACGUCAGAGUGAGCACAUUACAAUGCACAAAGUUCAUAAUCUCCACAUGGCACGGGAAGCGCUCGACGUAAUGCCUCACUGAAUCAAUUUCGAACUCAACUCAACUGUGCGAUCGCACAUAGAGAGAGAGAGAGAGAGAGAGGAGAAGAGAGAGAAGAAGAAGAAGAAGAAGAAGAGUGAAGAAACAAGAGAUGUGGAGGCGCGCGACUCUACUUUCUUCACUGUUACCUUCAUCGAAAGCAUCGGUUCUUAACCAGAUGCAGGUAGCCUAUGGAUUGAAGAUUUGGGAAGCAUUCAGUACAGAUAUCUUGACAACGG
Non-coding RNA from Camellia sinensis, 369 nucleotides. Lineage: Eukaryota; Viridiplantae; Streptophyta; Magnoliopsida; Ericales; Theaceae. The record is from RefSeq and is a predicted model, not a curated record.